Small nucleolar RNA from Oncorhynchus mykiss (rainbow trout), 66 nucleotides. Its record names the gene SNORD24. It matches the Rfam family "Small nucleolar RNA SNORD24". From Rfam's summary of the family: U24 is a member of the C/D class of snoRNA which contain the C (UGAUGA) and D (CUGA) box motifs. C/D box snoRNAs have been shown to act as methylation guides for a number of RNA targets. Lineage: Eukaryota; Metazoa; Chordata; Actinopteri; Salmoniformes; Salmonidae. The record is from Ensembl.
UGCAGAUGACUUGACAUAUUUGCUCUCUUAAAAGGGAUAUUGACACCCACUAGGAUCACUGAUGCA